RNAcentral lists this ribosomal RNA (322 nucleotides) under uncultured bacterium. Its description in RNAcentral is "bacterial SSU rRNA". It matches the Rfam family "Bacterial small subunit ribosomal RNA", at positions 28 to 351 of the family's 1533-position model. The record is from RNAcentral.
GAUGAACGCUAGCGGUGCGCCUAACACAUGCAAGUCGAGCGCCCUCACUUUGGGAACAAUUAGUUUGUUCCCAGUGUGAGGGAGCGGCGAACGGGUGAGUAACACGUUGGAACCUACCCCAGACUCAGGGAUAGCCCGCCGAAAGGUGGAUUAAUACCGGAUAGUCUCGUAAGAGUAAAGCUUUUGCGGUCUGGGAGGGGCCUGCGGCCUAUCAGCUAGUUGGUAAGGUAAUGGCUUACCAAGGCUAUGACGGGUAACUGGUGUGAGAGCAUGACCAGUCACAAUGGAACUGAGACACGGUCCAUACUCCUACGGGUGGCUG